GGCCUCGUGGCCCAAUGGCAAGGCGUCUGACUACGAUGAGAACGGGUUGAGAAAACACGUUCUUUGCGAUAAUCAGGAGAUUCUGGGUUCGACCCCCAGCGAGGUCA
Molecule: non-coding RNA, 107 nt
Organism: Xylaria palmicola
Lineage: Eukaryota; Fungi; Ascomycota; Sordariomycetes; Xylariales; Xylariaceae
Source: the annotation of a GenBank genome assembly